CAAGAGGAAACCAGAUAUUGUGACCCCCAAUGGGCUGAAUGUGAAGAAGUUUUCUGCCAUGCAUGAGUUCCAGAACCUCCAUGCUCAGAGCAAGGCUCGAAUCCAGGAGUUUGUGCGGGGCCAUUUUUAUGGGCAUCUGGACUUCAACUUGGACAAGACCUUGUACUUCUUUAUCGCCGGCCGCUAUGAGUUCUCCAACAAGGGUGCCGACGUCUUCCUGGAGGCCUUGGCUCGGCUCAACUAUCUGCUCAGAGUGAACGGCAGCGAGCAGACAGUGGUUGCCUUCUUCAUCAUGCCAGCGCGGACCAACAAUUUCAACGUGGAAACCCUCAAAGGCCAAGCCGUGCGCAAACAGCUUUGGUCAGCAGCCCUCGCUCCGGCCCCUGGCCCAGCCCACUCCCAGCUGCAUGCUUUGGGUCCCGUGUUUCUCCUAGAGUCUCAGUCUUUU
RNAcentral lists this small RNA (448 nucleotides) under Pongo abelii (Sumatran orangutan). RNAcentral's name for it is "retained intron". Lineage: Eukaryota; Metazoa; Chordata; Mammalia; Primates; Hominidae. The record is from RNAcentral.